This 218-nucleotide long non-coding RNA is filed under the name Zonotrichia albicollis (white-throated sparrow). Its description in RNAcentral is "lncRNA (ENSZALG00000007904.1)". Lineage: Eukaryota; Metazoa; Chordata; Aves; Passeriformes; Passerellidae. The record is from RNAcentral.
CCAGCUAAUAAGGGUAAAGACAGAGCAUGGAUAGAAGAUUUGUCCCUUCAGGAGUUGCUGGUAAACUUAACAGAACCAGUUCUGUUGGUGUGAGUAAUGCAGCAGCUACAGAACACUGCUUUUUUAAAAAAAGAAAUGUAACCCUUACUAAUACUGUAGUUGUUAAUGGGAACGGAGGUAUGGCUUACAAAUGUGAAUCUCAGCUUUUGAUAUUAUAA